CACUGCCUCUUACCUUUGAGGUGAAUUCUAUUUUCAGUGAGAGAGCAUCUUCAGUUACAGUCGACCUCGACCUGGUCCUCAUGCUGCUGAGGCUCUUGCUGUUGAUCUGUGCUCCACUCUGCGAACCAACUGGGCUAUUCCUGACAGCCAGCCCCUCUCGGCCCACAGAGGGUAAGUCAAUGACCCUGGCCUGUAAGACCUUUCCACAGAAGUUAGAUGGCCAGCACCAGUUCCGCUUCUACAAAGAUAACCUGGCUCUAGGACUGGACUGGAACAGCUUCCCAGAACUCCAGAUUCCUGCCGCGUGGAAGGAGGACUCAGGAUCCUACUGGUGUGAAGCAAAGAGCAUGCAACAAAAAGUCACACGGAGCCCAAGAGUCCUGAUAGAAGUGCACAGAGUCCCCAUCAGUAACGUAAGCUUGAAGAUACAACCUCCAGAUGGACACCUGGUGGAGGGAGAGAAGCUUGUUCUUGUCUGCUUGGUUGCUGAAGGCACAGGAGAUAUCACCUUCUUCUGGUACAAAGGGGCCUUGGGUUUAAACCUGGAAGUGAAGACCCAGCGUUCACUGACGGCACAGUUUGAGAUUCCUGCAGUGACAGAAAGUGAUGCUGAGCAAUAUUACUGUGCAGCUGACAAUAGCUUUGGCCCUAGGCUCAGCGAGCUGGUGAGCAUCACUGUCAAAAUUCCAGUGUCUCGCCCUGUCCUCACCCUCACGGCCCUCAGGGCCCAGGUUGUGGUGGGGGACGUGGUCCAACUUCACUGCGAGGCCCGGAGAGGCUCUCCCCCGAUCCAAUACUGGUUUUAUCAUGAGGAUGUCACCUUGAAGAACAGCUCAGCCCCCUCUGGAGGAGGAGUGUCCUUCAACCUCUCUCUGACAGCAGAACAUUCUGGAAACUAUUUCUGUGAGGCCAAAAAUGGCCGGAGGGUCCAGCGCAGCGAGGUGGUGCCACUCAACAUCACAGGGCCUGCAGAAGACAGAAAAGAACUUCUUACUUCAGGAGCCAUUGGCAUCGUUGGUUUCAUCACUAUGGCCCUAUUAUUUUGCUGUUGGCUCAAAAGAAGAAUAGGAAGACGUUCAGCCAGGGAUCCACCCAGGAAUCCUCCCAGCCCUGCACCCCAAGAAUCCAACUACCUCAACUCUCAAGCCCCAGGGCAACUACAGCCUGAAUACGAAAAUGUGAACCUUGUAAGUGGAGACAAGAUUUACUCUUUGGUGUACUGCGUGCAGCAGGAACAGCACUCAGCAGUAGAUGGCAGCGCUGGAGAUGGUACCCACUAUGCACUCCCUGCAGACCCCAGUGCAGCUGCCUAGUUGCUGUUGUUGACCCAUCCAGUACUCUGUGGGCACAGAAAUGCUGAGAGACAAACCCCCGGGGAUCCAUACUGAGGACAAGGACUCCUUGGACAUCUAUUCGAGGCUGAAGAAGGCAGAUCUUACAGAUGUGGACUAUGAAGAUGCUAUGUAAAGAAGGUUCUGCUCUUUGGAAACCUCCAUGACCCCACACCUCAUAACUAAAAUGCCCUUCGGAAAUCCUGGGGGAUUCCAUUACACCUCAUCCAGGUGUUUUCCUCCAUAAGACGAUUUCUGCAUCUCCUGGGAAGUGAUGUUAGCUCCAGCUUUGAAGGGAUCACCCAGAAGAACCAACAAGAACUCAGGAAUGGGAAGAACUUUGUUGUCAGAACCCAAUUCCCAUUGGUCCUUUCAGGUACAGGUCAAACUGUGCUCUAACUUUUUACAGGAGAAAACAGGACGGGAUAAAAGAACUUGAGAUCUUGGGGUAGAGGGACAGUGAAGCUUAGAGUACACAAACCCAAGACUUGUGAUUUUGUGGGACUGCUCCAUACAGAGAGCUACGUCCACCUUCAAGUGCUUUCUCUGCUCAGACAGUACAGAGCUCUAACCCUACCACUUACAUUAAUCAUCCUAUUUCUGCAUAAAAUAUGUGACUCAGUGCAUUUGGGGUCACUGUUACCAAGUUAGAAUUAAAGCAAAGUUACAUAAAAAGUUAUUGUGGCUACACUCAAUUUUAACACCAUGUUUUGUAUGCAUGGGCCAGUCUCGGUGCUCCCCUAUUUAUAAUGAGAUGUAAUCUUAGUAGGUUUCACUGCAUCCAAAGUUCUGUAUUUGUUGCAGCCUCUAGAAGCUUUAUGAAUAUAAUUCUUUUUUAAUUUACAAACUUUUUGAAAAUACGUGAUAACAUGAUGUGAAGUCUGUAUUUUAAUUUUAAAACAAUCAUAAGCUAACAAAUAAGUUAAAACAUUUUAAAAUUAUGUAAUAUAAAAAUCAAACCUUCCCUAUAAACUGACACCAUAAGUGGUACCCAUUGUUAAAUACUUAGUAUUAUUAAAAAUCUUCAUUCUGCCCACAUUUUUAAAUUUUUUUGUAGAAACCCAUCUACAUAUGUGUGAAUAUAAAUUUAGAAGUAUACCUAUGUAAUAAAAUAUUACAAAAUAUUUUCAAGUCUGCAUAUAGAUUAUUGUACUAUUGUAAAAGGUUGUGUAGUACCCUGUUAUAUGAUAAAUCAUAAUAUGUAUUUUUCUUUUUUAUUUUGUGUUUCUUCUAUUUUUUCUUUUUUAUUGAGGUAACAUUGAUUUAUAACAUUAUGUAAGUUUUAUGUGUAUAUUCUAUUUUUUAAACUGAAGUAUAGUUGAUUUGCAA
Camelus dromedarius (Arabian camel) is the source of this 2660-nucleotide RNA transcript. It is a transcript of the gene named Fc receptor like 1, with no coding region annotated. The transcript is spliced from 12 exons. Lineage: Eukaryota; Metazoa; Chordata; Mammalia; Artiodactyla; Camelidae. The record is from RefSeq and is a predicted model, not a curated record.